GACGAAGGACCCCGAGCGUUAUCCGGAUUCAUUGGGUUUAAAGGGUGCGUAGGCGGACUUAUAAGUCAGUGGUGAAAUCUCCAGGCUCAACUUGGAAACUGCCAUUGAUACUGUUAGUCUUGAAUCUAGCUGAUGUGGGCGGAAUAUGACAUGUAGCGGUGAAAUGCUUAGAUAUGUCAUAGAACACCGAUUGCGAAGGCAGCUCACAAAACUAGUAUUGACGCUGAGGCACGAAAGUGC
RNAcentral lists this ribosomal RNA (240 nucleotides) under uncultured bacterium. Its description in RNAcentral is "partial 16S ribosomal RNA". It matches the Rfam family "Bacterial small subunit ribosomal RNA", at positions 524 to 762 of the family's 1533-position model. The record is from RNAcentral.